Molecule: RNase P RNA, 373 nt
Filed under: Bifidobacterium longum
Lineage: Bacteria; Bacillati; Actinomycetota; Actinomycetes; Bifidobacteriales; Bifidobacteriaceae
Description: RNase P RNA component class A
Rfam family: Bacterial RNase P class A
About the family: Ribonuclease P (RNase P) is a ubiquitous endoribonuclease, found in archaea, bacteria and eukarya as well as chloroplasts and mitochondria. Its best characterised activity is the generation of mature 5'-ends of tRNAs by cleaving the 5'-leader elements of precursor-tRNAs. Cellular RNase Ps are ribonucleoproteins.
Source: RNAcentral
UGAGACCUCUUGAUGGCCGCGGCCGUGAUCUUCAUUGGGAUCGGCUGAGGAACUUCCGGGCUCCAUAGAGCACGAUGGCGGAUAACGUCCGCCCAGGGUGACCUGAGAGAUAGCGCAACAGAGAACAGACCGCCCGUCCUCGACGGGUAAGGGUGAAACGGCGGUGUAAGAGACCACCGGGCCUCUGGUAACAGUAGGUCGCAUGGCAAGCCUCAUCGGGAGCAAGGCCAAGCAGAUGGCGGUAAGGGCUGCUCGCCCGUGUCAUCGGGUAGGCUGCUAGAGCCUGGCGGCAACGUCAGGUCGAGAUGGAUGGCCAUCCGUGCCGUGGUCGCGCACGGCACGACAGAACCCGGGGUAUAAGAGGUCUCAUUUU